GGACUACCGGGGUAUCUAAUCCUGUUCGCUCCCCACGCUGUCGCGCCUCAGUGUCAGUAGUGGUCCAGGAAGUCGCCUUCGCCACUGAUGUUCCUUCCAAUAUCUACGCAUUUCACCGCUACACUGGAAAUUCCACUUCCCUCUACCACACUCUAGUCAACCAGUUUUAAACGCAAUUCCUAGGUUAAGCCCAGGGAUUUCACAUCUAACUUAAUUAACCACCUACGCGCCCUUUACGCCCAGUAAUUCCGAUUAACGCUUGCACCCUCUGUAUUACCGCGGCUGCUGGCAC
This 292-nucleotide ribosomal RNA is filed under the name uncultured bacterium. Its description in RNAcentral is "partial 16S ribosomal RNA". The record is from RNAcentral.